Musa acuminata AAA Group (dessert banana) is the source of this 890-nucleotide long non-coding RNA. RefSeq lists it as uncharacterized. The transcript has 3 exons. Lineage: Eukaryota; Viridiplantae; Streptophyta; Magnoliopsida; Zingiberales; Musaceae. The record is from RefSeq and is a predicted model, not a curated record.
CCUCGACCCUCCGGCGGCUGCCGACUCACCCAAGCGUAGGCGAGUCGCCUUCUCCCCGUUUCCUCUUCAUCCCUUUUGCUCCUCUUUUCCUCCACGAUCGAGACGAUUCUUGAAAGAUCCAACUGUGCUCGCUCGUGUACCAGGCCGCCUGCACCACCGGCGGGAUCGACGGCUGCCGCCUGCUCGAUCUCGUCUAGUGUAACAUGCAGGCGCUCGUGUUUCAUGCAGUAGAAGACAUUUCUGCGUGAUUAUUCCAACUGUAGUUGUAGUUGCAGAGCAAUGUCGUAUUUGGUGCUGCACACCGUUCCUCUUGAAAUCAGACUAUGAUUAUCGAGAUUUUAUGUGUGCAUACAGUAAAUGUUCCUCUCUGCUUGAGUGUUCUCCAGUUCGACAGCCCAUGGAGUUGCACUUCAAUGAUGUGGCAUACAGAGUAUCCACUAACUGGAUGUUUUCUUUUCAUCUGUUUUCACAAUCAAACAACAGAACUCUCGUAAUGUUUGAAACAUAAAACCCACUGUGUUCCUUUAUUUGCCAUCUUUCUGUUAAAAAUCUUCAUUUUUCUUCCCAUUCAGCUUUCAUUUUAUUUGUUACUACUUACUGAAUAAUGUUAUAUUUUCUGCUUCUGCUUUUGCACACAGUUCUUGAAAUCAGACUAUGGUUGUCAGGAUUUUACGUGUGCAUAUAGCAAAUGGUCUUGUCUGCUCGACUCUUCUCCAGCUUGACAGCAGAUGGUGUUGCACGCCAAUGAAGUGAAAGCAAAAACAUUCUUCCAAGAUAAAAGGAUGAUCAAACGCACAAGGUCUCGAGAGUCAGCAGUCCUACUACGACUCCUCACUACACCGCAACAAGAAAGUCUAAGUUCAACUUCAUGAUUGACAAGCAGCAAAGAA